Molecule: ribosomal RNA, 429 nt
Filed under: uncultured bacterium
Lineage: Bacteria
Description: bacterial SSU rRNA
Rfam family: Bacterial small subunit ribosomal RNA
Source: RNAcentral
UGGGGAAUAUUGGACAAUGGGGGCAACCCUGAUCCAGCAACGCCGCGUGAAUGAAGAAGGCCUUAGGGUUGUAAAGUUCUUUUGUCCGAGAGCAAAGGUUAUAUGUGAAUAGCAUAUAAAGCUGAGAGUAUCGGAAGAAUAAGCACCGGCUAACUACGUGCCAGCAGCCGCGGUAAUACGUAGGGUGCGAGCGUUAAUCGGAAUUACUGGGCGUAAAGGGUGCGCAGGCGGAUAUAAAAGUUAGAUGUGAAAUACCCGAGCUUAACUUGGGAGGUGCAUUUAAGACUGUAUGUCUAGAGUUAGUAAGAGGAUGGGAGAAUUCCGAGUGUAGCAGUGAAAUGCGUAGAGAUUCGGAGGAAUAUCGGUGGCGAAGGCGCCCAUCUGGGAUAUAACUGACGCUCAAGCACGAAAGCGUGGGGAGCAAACAGG